Molecule: long non-coding RNA, 825 nt
Organism: Zingiber officinale
Lineage: Eukaryota; Viridiplantae; Streptophyta; Magnoliopsida; Zingiberales; Zingiberaceae
Exons: 2
Source: RefSeq, a predicted model, not a curated record
GUAGAGAUGCUUCGUUUCAACCGACUCGAUAGAGGAGGAAGAAACCCCUAAAAACUUCCGACUUUUCAGUGGAAAUCGCGCUUAUUAUUCCUCGUUUUAGGGGAGUUUUUGCCAGUGAUUUCAGAUGGCGGCGGCAUUGGUUAAGGCGAAUAGGGAACGUCCAGCUGUGUGGGUAAGGCGGGGCAGGGCUGGGCGGGGAAGCAAGUCGCGUGACCUCCUGCUUCGAUCUCUUCGGCUCGCUUGAUAUCAGCUGCUUCCGUUCCCCACCAAUUCCAUCUUCUUUCUUGAUUCGGCUAGGUCUUCCUGUAUCUAUUGAAGGAACCUCGCCAUAUGGAUGCAAAACCAUUUUCAGAAUGUCGAGCUGCAGAUAGUCUCUCUAAUUCGUUGCGUGAUAAAAUCGCCAGUGAGCAGGGUGAGAAAGAAGUCGUCAAGGAUUCUCGAUGUGUGUUUGUUGGGGAGAAAGUUGUUGGGGGUGCUUGCUGAUUGCUUUUCCAGAAACCCCUGAACGAGCCCAAGAUUCAGUAAAAGAUGGCCGGAUUGACUUGGGUUCAAAUUUUCUAUUCUAAGCAGAUUUUCCCUACUCGUUUAAUGGUCUUCAUAAUCAUAAUUCUCUUGUAAGCUCUGCAGGAUGAGGCUGUUGUUUAGAAGUUUUGGAUGCGUGAUCAAAUGACGGGUGAGUCUUUUCAACAUAAGAGCAUCUGUAUAGUUUUAUCCUGCUUAACAGAAUUUUGCAUGUCUAUAAAUACGGCACCUUGAAGAUCUCGUUAAAAACAGACAUAAUGUCUGGUAUAUAAUAGGAUGAUUGCACUAUUCGUUGUUUGAAAA